This 508-nucleotide ribosomal RNA is filed under the name uncultured bacterium. RNAcentral's name for it is "bacterial SSU rRNA". It matches the Rfam family "Bacterial small subunit ribosomal RNA", at positions 1003 to 1511 of the family's 1533-position model. The record is from RNAcentral.
GAAAGCAUGCGACUCUUCGGAGGCGUUACACAGGUGCUGCAUGGCCGUCGUCAGCUCGUGUCGUGAGAUGUUUGGUUAAGUCCAGCAACGAGCGCAACCCCUGUUGCCAGUUACCAGCACGUGAAGGUGGGGACUCUGGCGAGACUGCCCAGAUCAACUGGGAGGAAGGUGGGGACGACGUCAGGUCAGUAUGGCCCUUAUGCCCAGGGCUGCACACGUACUACAAUGCCCAGUACAGAGGGGGCCGAAGCCGCGAGGCGGAGGAAAUCCUAAAAACUGGGCCCAGUUCGGACUGUAGGCUGCAACCCGCCUACACGAAGCCGGAAUCGCUAGUAAUGGCGCAUCAGCUACGGCGCCGUGAAUACGUUCCCGGGUCUUGUACACACCGCCCGUCACAUCAUGGAAGCCGGUCGCACCCGAAGUAUCUGAAGCCAACCGCAGGGAGGCAGGGUCCUAAGGUGAGACUGGUAACUGGGAUGAAGUCGUAACAAGGUAGCCGUAGGGGAAC